GUGCUCGCUUUGGCAGCACAUAUACUAAAACUGGAACGAUACAGGAAAGAUUAGCAUGGACCCUGCUCGAGGAUGACACGCAAAUUUGUGAAGCAUUCAAAAAGAAG
This is a small nuclear RNA of Carcharodon carcharias (great white shark), 107 nucleotides long. Lineage: Eukaryota; Metazoa; Chordata; Chondrichthyes; Lamniformes; Lamnidae. The record is from RefSeq and is a predicted model, not a curated record.